AAGUCGUAACAAGGUUUCCGUAGGUGAACCUGCGGAAGGAUCAUUAACACGUGAUUACCCACGUAUUACGCAAACGUGAAUUUGUUGUAUGCCUGAUAGAGGAUCUGAGCUGACUGUUAGGGAAUGGUGUGUGACGAUGAUUCGCUCUCGUUGCUAACUAGCAGUCUUAGCGUCCUUGAGACGCGGUUCGGUCUUCUAGCAGUAGAUAAGCAUCGGCUGUACUAAGCCUGCACCUUGGCUUGCUGUCCGAGCGAUAUGUAUUUACCACAAUGUUAUACUCAUUCUGAUUUGUACGUUUUUACGAAUUCCUAAUGACUUCGGUUAUUGGUUGAGUUUGUCUAAAUGUCGUAUAUUACUAAUACGAAACAACUCUUAGCAACGGAUAUCUUGGUUCUC
This 396-nucleotide unclassified non-coding RNA is filed under the name fungal sp. RNAcentral describes it as "partial internal transcribed spacer region". The stretch from base 1 to 46 matches the Rfam family "Eukaryotic small subunit ribosomal RNA", at positions 1786 to 1831 of the family's 1831-position model. Lineage: Eukaryota; Fungi. The record is from RNAcentral.